AAGAAAUCUCUUUUUAAAGAGUGUCCUGGCCAAGACAGGCAGCAGUACAACCACACAUAUAGACAAACACAAAAACCUAAAACAACUGGAACAGCAAAUCCCACAUCAGGAAAAACAUCUGCAGCCAGCUGUGGCUGCCUCCAAGUCAGUCAACAUCCUCUUA
This is a long non-coding RNA of Etheostoma spectabile (orangethroat darter), 163 nucleotides long. RefSeq lists it as uncharacterized. The record is from RefSeq and is a predicted model, not a curated record. The transcript is spliced from 3 exons. Lineage: Eukaryota; Metazoa; Chordata; Actinopteri; Perciformes; Percidae.